CCUACGGGAGGCAGCAGUGAGGAAUAUUGGUCAAUGGACGCAAGUCUGAACCAGUCAUGCCGCGUGCAGGAUGACGGCUCUAUGAGUUGUAAACCGCUUUUGUCCGAGGGUAAAUCCCGAUACGUGUAUCGGGUUGAAAGUAUCGUACGAAUAAGGAUCGGCUAACUCCGUGCCAGCAGCCGCGGUAAUACGGAGGAUUCAAGCGUUAUCCGGAUUUAUUGGGUUUAAAGGGUGCGUAGGCGGGUAGAUAAGUUAGAGGUGAAAUCUCGGGGCUCAACUCCGGCAGUGCCUCUGAUACUGGCGGGCUAGAGUGUAGUUGAGGUAGGCGGAAUGUAUGGUGUAGCGGUGAAAUGCAUAGAGAUCAUACAGAACACCGAUUGCGAAGGCAGCUUACC
Molecule: ribosomal RNA, 395 nt
Filed under: uncultured bacterium
Lineage: Bacteria
Description: partial 16S ribosomal RNA
Rfam family: Bacterial small subunit ribosomal RNA
Source: RNAcentral